This 492-nucleotide ribosomal RNA is filed under the name uncultured bacterium. RNAcentral describes it as "partial 16S ribosomal RNA". It matches the Rfam family "Bacterial small subunit ribosomal RNA", at positions 29 to 507 of the family's 1533-position model. The record is from RNAcentral.
AGUGAACGCUGGCGGUAGGCCUAACACAUGCAAGUCGAACGGCAGCACAGUAAGAGCUCGCUCUUACGGGUGGCGAGUGGCGGACGGGUGAGGAAUACAUCGGAAUCUACUUUUUCGUGGGGGAUAACGUAGGGAAACUUACGCUAAUACCGCAUACGUCCUACGGGUGAAAGCAGGGGUUCUUCGGACCUUGCGCGAUUGAAUGAGCCGAUGUCGGAUUAGCUAGUUGGCGGGGUAAAGGCCCACCAAGGCGACGAUCCGUAGCUGGUCUGAGAGGAUGAUCAGCCACACUGGAACUGAGACACGGUCCAGACUCCUACGGGAGGCAGCAGUGGGGAAUAUUGGACAAUGGGCGCAAGCCUGAUCCAGCCAUACCGCGUGGGUGAAGAAGGCCUUCGGGUUGUAAAGCCCUUUUGUUGGGAAAGAAAAGCAGCGGGUUAAUACCCCGCUGUUCUGACGGUACCCAAAGAAUAAGCACCGGCUAACUUCGUG